UUGCAAAUCUGUAGCUUUGCAGUAGUUUGCUUAUGAUACAUCAACCUUUGCAGUAAUCUGUGAGCAAGAACUGAUAUAGAAGCAUGGGAGAACAACCUGAUCCGUUCUCCGCUUCUACUCUACCGGAUUUCAUAUCUUCCCAAAAGAUUGGUAGACCGGUUACUCUCGAAGGCCAAAGCAACCGUGGCCAUCCUUACUCCGGCCUCAAGAAGAGAGGGCAGUCUAGUCGUUCAUGGGUCAAGAUUGAUGAGAAUGGGAACUCGACGGUUUUGGAGCUGGACAAGGCAACUAUAAUGAAGCGCUGUUCCUUACCUUCAAGGGAUUUGAGGCUUCUGGAUCCUUUGUUUAUUUACCCCUCGAGUAUCUUGGGGCGUGAAAGAGCCAUAGUGGUCAGCCUUGAGAAGAUUAGAUGUAUAAUCACUGCUGAGGAGGUUAUUCUCAUGAAUGCUAGGGAUGCGUCUGUUGUUCAGUACCAGUCUGAACUCUGUAAACGCCUCCAGUCUAACCAAAACUUGAAUCUCAAAGGUCAGUUGAUUUUUUUUUUUUAUAUUAGCUUUGGUGGUUUGGAGUUAUGAUAGUUGUUAGAUUGCUGAUAACAUAAAGAACUGUUGGUUUCAGAUGAUUUGCCUUUUGAGUUUAAAGCGUUGGAGCUGGUUUUGGAAUUAUCUUGCUUGUCUUUAGAUGCACAGGUAUGCCACCAUUUGCCUCUAACGUCAUUCUGCAAGAUAGUUGUUGUAACUACAAAAAGCUUUUGGUGGAUUUGAUUUUGAAUAGGUGAAUGAGUUAGAGAUGGAGGUGUAUCCUGUUCUUGAUGAACUAGCCACAAACAUCAGCACACUUAAUCUAGAACACGUAAGGAGGUUAAAAGGUCGUCUCCUUGCCUUAACACAGAAAGUUCAGAAGGUAAACACACAAAGAACCCUUCAAAAUUUAGAAAAAUCGGCACCAUACAUUUUGAUUUUGAGGGUUUCUUAAAUCUUGCAGGUUUGUGAUGAAAUAGAACAUUUAAUGGAUGAUGAUGAUGACAUGGCUGAGAUGUAUUUGACUGAGAAGAAAGAAAGAUCAGAGGCUCAUGCUUCAGUGGAGUUAGAAGAUAACCUAGAUGACGAUUUUGGAUCUUCAGGAAUAGUUUCCAAGUCUGCGCCGGUUUCACCUGUGGGUUCAACUAGUGGAAACCUUGGGAAGCUUCAAAGAGCCUUUAGUAGUGUGGUUGGCUCACACAGAAGCUUGUUAAGCUCAUCUAGCAGCGGAGAGAACAUCGACCAACUAGAGAUGUUGCUAGAAGCCUACUUCGUCGUUGUUGAUAACACACUCAGCAAACUAUCAUCGGUUAGAUUCUUACAUUUGUUACAGAGAGAUGUUUUAUUUCUAUUCACCGUUUUGAUUUAUGAUCUUGUGUUUGCAGCUGAAAGAGUAUAUUGAUGAUACAGAGGAUCUGAUCAACAUUAAGCUGGUAACAACAGACAAAACCAAGCUUUGUCUAUUUUGCUCUUGUUUCAUCUUAACUUCUCUAGAGUCUCUGACUUUGUGUCCAUGAUUCUUUCUUAGGCGAAUGUACAGAAUCAGUUGAUUCAGUUUCAACUGCUUCUCACCGCAGCAACCUUUGUGGCAGCCAUUUUCGCAGCUGUAACAGCGGUUUUCGGGAUGAACCUGCAAGACUCUGUUUUCAAAGAUCCGACCAUGUUCCAGUGGGUUUUGCUUGUAACAGGUAUUGGAUGUGGACUUUUGUAUUUUGGUUUUGUGUUAUACUUCAAGCACAAGAAAGUAUUCCCUCUCUAAUACUCUUUUUUUUUUUGUUAGUGAGACUUGAGUUACUAUUGUAAUAAUUUUCAUUGUCAAACUCAGUUUAGGCUUAGUCCAAGAUUUGGGUAUUGAAAAGUGAUGAUAAAAGCCAAGGAAUUGUAGAGCAUUACAUAUGAAAUCUAAUCAAUUAAAGAAGUUCGAAACUUAUAAGUCAAAAGGCAUUGUCAAUGGCCAGAACCAAAGCAUGUUCAACCCCAUACCUGUCGACAGCUCAAGAAAACGUAUGAACUGGGAACGGGAAGCACAACGCUAGCCCAUUCAACGUGUCCCCAAACAUCAUCACCACCACCCUCUCUUUCAAGCGCAAUCACCGAGCACCAAAUGUUCUUGUUUUCACCCUGGCCAGGCUUGUCCCACAAGAUUAAGAGUUUCCCACAGUAGUUAGCUACUGCAAGAGCACCAGCACAACCAUUCCUAUUCAAUACCUCCAAGCCUUUGACCAUUCUCCAGUUUUGAAGCUUUGUGUCAAACCACGAGACGGUUUUAAAAAACACCGGUAUCACACUUUUGAUCUCCUAUAGUUCGGUCUAUGUUAGAAACCGAGUUCCAUCCAGGAGAUAGUCUCCACGUGGCUUGAUAUACGUUUGUCUUUCGUCUCUGGUUAAAAAGAAAGGAAGGCGUUGUUACUGUGUAAAGUAAAACAGAGGAAGUAAUUGCUCUUCAUCUUCUGCUGCUUCUGCUUGGGGAAACUGAAAUAGAUUCUAAACGAAAGGUGAAGCUCUCAUUUUUUUCUGGAAUCUUAGGUUUGGUUUCGUUACUUUCAUGAAUUGUUACUUUGUUUGAUCGUAUGGAUUUGAGAAUAUCGACCUAAUUGAUCGCCGGCGAUUGGUAAUUCGAUAGUCUUAAAGGAUCGGUUUCUUCGAAUUUUUAGAAAUUUUGCUACUGAAUUUGAUCAUCCUUUACUGUAAAUUUUGUGGCUUUUCUUCAUUUCUCGAUUAGCAACUCAAUACCCAGUUAUUCAAAUCUAGAUUGAUUUGGGAAUUUUAGAGGGUUCACAAAGGUUAGGUUCUUGAUGAUCAACGCAGUUUCUGGUAGAAAUGUUCACUACUAAGUUUUAGAAGGCUUUUUUUGUGCUCUCAAUCUCUUUGUUAACUCCUCGGAGAGAGAGAGAGCAGUUGAAUGAGAUGAGCUUACAUGGUUGCUAAAUAGAUUUCGAUUUCAUCUCAAAACUGUUGUUUUCAGGUUGCAAAUCUGUAGCUUUGCAGUAGUUUGCUUAUGAUACAUCAACCUUUGCAGUAAUCUGUGAGCAAGAACUGAUAUAGAAGCAUGGGAGAACAACCUGAUCCGUUCUCCGCUUCUACUCUACCGGAUUUCAUAUCUUCCCAAAAGAUUGGUAGACCGGUUACUCUCGAAGGCCAAAGCAACCGUGGCCAUCCUUACUCCGGCCUCAAGAAGAGAGGGCAGUCUAGUCGUUCAUGGGU
This 3224-nucleotide long non-coding RNA is filed under the name Brassica napus (rape). Its description in RNAcentral is "long non-coding RNA (BNAP_LNC005583)". The record is from RNAcentral. Lineage: Eukaryota; Viridiplantae; Streptophyta; Magnoliopsida; Brassicales; Brassicaceae.